This 253-nucleotide ribosomal RNA is filed under the name uncultured bacterium. Its description in RNAcentral is "partial 16S ribosomal RNA". It matches the Rfam family "Bacterial small subunit ribosomal RNA", at positions 524 to 776 of the family's 1533-position model. The record is from RNAcentral.
UACGAAGGGGGCUAGCGUUGCUCGGAAUUACUGGGAGUAAAGCGCACGUAGGUGGCUUUUUAAGUCGGGGGUGAAAUCCUGGAGCUCAACUCCAGAACUGCCCUCGAUACUGGGAAGCUUGAGUUCGGGAGAGGUGAGUGGAACUGCGAGUGUAGAGGUGAAAUUCGUAGAUAUUCGCAAGAACACCAGUGGCGAAGGCGGCUCACUGGCCCGAUACUGACGCUGAGGUGCGAAAGCGUGGGGAGCAAACAGG